CGAAAACAGGAAAAAGGAACGGAGGGUGUGCCUGGCUCAUGAUCUUUCUUUUUAGAGUUACUUGUUUAAUGGCUAAUGAAGGAGAAAGGCUGCUUGCAGUGAGCCAGUAAUUCUGGAGCAUUUUUUCCUGCCGUCUAUGCCUGGGCCUGGGCUACUUGCUAGCAGGAUGAAACCUAACCUUGACAAGGCUUCCAUCUGAGGAGAAAGCGUGUGGAAGGUCAGCAACACCAGGAGGACCAGAGGGAGGAAAGCCAUUUGAGCCCAGUCUGGAACAAAAGAGUAUCGUAACAAAGCAGAACCAAGGCUGGCAGCUUCCUGGUACAGUCUGAAGUCUUGUCUCUUCUCCCAGCUGCUGUCCCUUCCCCUACUUGCCUUGAUUACAGAACCUCCGCCCCCAAGAUUCCAUUUGUUUCUAGUUGGUCUAGAUCUGCUAACUGUGCUCCUCAGAAAUCAUUCAAUUGAGCCUCCAAUGCUUCCGAGCCAUCACAUCCAGCGACCACCUCAUGACCAGCAUCUCUUGUGG
Long non-coding RNA from Mastomys coucha (southern multimammate mouse), 523 nucleotides. RefSeq lists it as uncharacterized. The record is from RefSeq and is a predicted model, not a curated record. The transcript is spliced from 3 exons. NCBI's taxonomy places the organism in Eukaryota, Metazoa, Chordata, Mammalia, Rodentia, Muridae.